UACGGGGGGGGCAAGCGUUGUUCGGAAUUACUGGGCGUAAAGGGCUCGUAGGCGGCCAACUAAGUCACACGUGAAAUCCCACGGCUCAACCGUGGAACUGCGUGUGAGACUGGAUGGCUUGAGUUUGGGAGAGGAAUGCGGAAUUCCAGGUGUAGCGGUGAAAUGCGUAGAUAUCUGGAGGAACACCGGUGGCGAAGGCGGCAUUCUGGACCAACACUGACGCUGAGGAGCGAAAGCCAGGGGAGCAAACGGG
RNAcentral lists this ribosomal RNA (253 nucleotides) under uncultured bacterium. Its description in RNAcentral is "partial 16S ribosomal RNA". It matches the Rfam family "Bacterial small subunit ribosomal RNA", at positions 524 to 776 of the family's 1533-position model. The record is from RNAcentral.